This 254-nucleotide ribosomal RNA is filed under the name uncultured bacterium. RNAcentral describes it as "partial 16S ribosomal RNA". It matches the Rfam family "Bacterial small subunit ribosomal RNA", at positions 524 to 776 of the family's 1533-position model. The record is from RNAcentral.
UACGUAGGAUGCAAGCGUUGUCCGGAAUUAUUGGGCGUAAAGAGCGAGCAGGCGGUUUGGAAAGUUGGACGUGAAAUUUUAGGGCUUAACCCUAAAGGGUCGUCCAAAACUCCCAGACUAGAGUGCAGGAGAGGAAAGCGGAAUUCCCGGUGUAGUGGUGAAAUGCGUAGAUAUCGGGAGGAACACCAGAGGCGAAGGCGGCUUUCUGGCCUGUAACUGGACGCUGAGGCGCGAAGGCUGGGGUAGCGAACAGG